GCUGCUAUGGCACAGGAGGUAGCGCACCACAUUGGUAGUGUGGAGGUCACCGGUUCGAAUCCGGUUAGCAGCU
This 73-nucleotide transfer RNA is filed under the name Anaerostipes sp. 992a. It matches the Rfam family "tRNA". From Rfam's summary of the family: Transfer RNA (tRNA) molecules are approximately 80 nucleotides in length. Their secondary structure includes four short double-helical elements and three loops (D, anti-codon, and T loops). Further hydrogen bonds mediate the characteristic L-shaped molecular structure. tRNAs have two regions of fundamental functional importance: the anti-codon, which is responsible for specific mRNA codon recognition, and the 3' end, to which the tRNAs corresponding amino acid is attached (by aminoacyl-tRNA synthetases). tRNAs cope with the degeneracy of the genetic code in two manners: having more than one tRNA (with a specific anti-codon) for a particular amino acid; and 'wobble' base-pairing, i.e. permitting non-standard base-pairing at the 3rd anti-codon position. Lineage: Bacteria; Bacillati; Bacillota; Clostridia; Lachnospirales; Lachnospiraceae. RNAcentral also lists the same sequence under 3 other names. The record is from Rfam by way of RNAcentral.